GUUGUGUCAUGGCGCUCACCAGUCCUGUGAACAAGGUGCAGGAGGUGCGAGAUAUUUUACUUUUUUGGCUUUUCUGCAAACAUUAUCAAAGGUGACAUUCGAAUUGGUUCGUCGAAAGAUCGAUAAGCGUAUCAGGAAUGGAAUAAAUGCAAUAACUAUACUCUACUAGACGAAACUUCCUUGCUCUUACCCAGCGGCCCAAGCACGCUGAACGUUACAUCGAACCUGCGUUGUGACAAUACACCCUCGACUGCAUGCAAACUGUAUGCCACAAUUAGGUUUUCUGCCUAGACACUCCUCGUGAAAGAGGGAUGGGCAACCUGCACAUUGAAUAAUGCCAACAGCACCGGCACAAAGCAGAGGCUGCCUGCACAAGCAAUGAACAGCAUAAGCGAAGUCUUUUGGUCGUACUUGAGAAACAAUAAAAUUUAUUAUGAGAAA
Long non-coding RNA from Ixodes scapularis (black-legged tick), 441 nucleotides. RefSeq lists it as uncharacterized. The record is from RefSeq and is a predicted model, not a curated record. Lineage: Eukaryota; Metazoa; Arthropoda; Arachnida; Ixodida; Ixodidae. The transcript is spliced from 2 exons.